GAUGAACGCUGGCGGCGUGCCUAAUACAUGCAAGUCGAGCGAACGGACGAGAAGCUUGCUUCUCUGAUGUUAGCGGCGGACGGGUGAGUAACACGUGGAUAACCUACCUAUAAGACUGGGAUAAUUUCGGGAAACCGGAGCUAAUACCGGAUAAUAUUUUGAACCGCAUGGUUCAAAAGUGAAAGACGGUCUUGCUGUCACUUAUAGAUGGAUCCGCGCUGCAUUAGCUAGUUGGUAAGGUAACGGCUUACCAAGGCAACGAUGCAUAGCCGACCUGAGAGGGUGAUCGGCCACACUGGAACUGAGACACGGUCCAGACUCCUACGGGAGGCAGCAGUAGGGAAUCUUCCGAAAUGGGCGAAAGCCUGACGGAGCAACGCCGCGUGAGUGAUGAAGGUCUUCGGAUCGUAAAACUCUGUUAUUAGGGAAGAACAUAUGUGUAAGUAACUGUGCACAUCUUGACGGUACCUAAUCAGAAAGCCACGGCUAACUACGU
RNAcentral lists this ribosomal RNA (496 nucleotides) under uncultured bacterium. RNAcentral describes it as "partial 16S ribosomal RNA". It matches the Rfam family "Bacterial small subunit ribosomal RNA", at positions 28 to 506 of the family's 1533-position model. The record is from RNAcentral.